UACGUAGGUGGCAAGCGUUGUCCGGAUUUAUUGGGUUUAAAGGGUGCGUAGGCGGUCUUAUAAGUCAGUGCUGAAAUAUCCCGGCUUAACCGGGAGGGUGGCAUUGAUACUGUAGGACUUGAGUAGAGUUGAGGUUGGCGGAAUUGACGGUGUAGCGGUGAAAUGCUUAGAUAUCGUCAAGAACACCGAUAGCGAAGGCAGCUUACUGGGCUGUAACUGACGCUGAUGCACGAAAGUGUGGGGAUCAAACAGG
This 253-nucleotide ribosomal RNA is filed under the name uncultured bacterium. RNAcentral describes it as "partial 16S ribosomal RNA". It matches the Rfam family "Bacterial small subunit ribosomal RNA", at positions 524 to 776 of the family's 1533-position model. The record is from RNAcentral.